UUUUUUUAUGGCUACGCUAUGCCUUUUGCCAGUGUCGAGUUAAAAACGGGGAAACGGGAAUUGAGGAAAAUUGCCUAAUAUCGGAAUUUGGAAAGGAUUUGGAUCAGGAAAAUAAGGAUAUAAAACAGGGAAAAUAAACAUUAUUAUACACAUAAAUAAAAAUUAAGUUUAUAAACAUCAUAACUUUAAACUAUUUACAGAAAUAAAAGAGGCUAUACAAUUAUAUACAUGAACAUCUUUGUGAAACAGGAGAGACAUUAUGGAAGUCGGGAAGGGAAUAUGCAAAGAGGUUACCGCCUCAUUUGCAAGACGAUCAGCAAUUUCGUUGCCUCUAAUCCCGCUGUGACCAGGAAUCCAAACGAAACAAACAUUCAGACCAAGGUUAGAGGACAAUACGUCUGCAUAGGACUUUGAGGCUGGAGGGUGAAUCUUGGAAGCCUCUGCAUAUGAGAUGGAAUUUUCAGCCAUAUAAGACUUAAUUUUUUUCUGACGGAUGAAUUCUGGGCAUGACUUGCUAGUUGCAAAGUGGAAACCGGAGCAAAGACAACAGGAAGCUUGGUCUUCAUAAACAGAGCACGAAUCUCCCAUGUGGGCCUGCCCACACUUAAAACAGCGAGGCUGGGACCUACAUUGGGCCUUUGUAUGACCAAAUCGGCAACAAUUAAAACAUUGUACUGUAGGAAAGAUAUACAAUUCAACUGGUAAAGCAUUGUAGCAAAUAAAUACUCUUUUUGGUAAGGUUUGUCCGUCAAAUGUUACAACAACUGAUUGAGAGGGUUUCCAAGAAACUGAACCAUUAUUAAAAGAUUUAAAAUUCA
This is a long non-coding RNA of Ostrinia nubilalis (European corn borer), 818 nucleotides long. RefSeq lists it as uncharacterized. Lineage: Eukaryota; Metazoa; Arthropoda; Insecta; Lepidoptera; Crambidae. The transcript has 3 exons. The record is from RefSeq and is a predicted model, not a curated record.